UACGAAGGGUGCAAGCGUUACUCGGAAUUACUGGGCGUAAAGCGUGCGUAGGUGGUUUGUUAAGUCUGAUGUGAAAGCCCUGGGCUCAACCUGGGAAUUGCAUUGGAUACUGGCAGGCUAGAGUGCGGUAGAGGAUGGCGGAAUUCCCGGUGUAGCAGUGAAAUGCGCAGAUAUCAGGAGGAACACCAAUGGCGAAGGCAGCUCGCUGGGACGGUACUGACGCUGAGGUGCGAAAGCGUGGGGAGCAAACAGG
RNAcentral lists this ribosomal RNA (253 nucleotides) under uncultured bacterium. Its description in RNAcentral is "partial 16S ribosomal RNA". It matches the Rfam family "Bacterial small subunit ribosomal RNA", at positions 524 to 776 of the family's 1533-position model. The record is from RNAcentral.